CAGCUGGACUUGGUGGUUCUAAAAGUAUAAAUAUUGUUCAAGCAUCUUUUCUUUGCAGAGGGUGCAUAAAAGAAAAGCUGUUUCAUCCUUGUUGCUGGAGAUAUUUUUCUUUGUAGCUAACAUCGAGCAGGAAAUUCUUUAUGUUUAUCUCGGAGCUUCAGAACUUGAAGUCAUAAUGGUUCCAGCCUAUUCUUUUGGCCCACUCCAUUCUGGGCCUUCGUUGAGAACAAGACACAUAUAGCGUGGGCAGGAGAGUCUUGUGAGGCCACUGGAAAGUGAUCUGAAUUACAAGUCUGUGGUUACAUCCUGCCAUAGCCGGAGAGAACAGGAAGCAAAGUCUGGACAACCAGCAGAGCCAAAGAUGCAACAAACUAGAAGGGAAACAGAGCUGGACUUGCAAAAUAAAUGGGGGCAGAGACCUGGUGGUAAAGCAUAAAAGAAGGUUCGAGAAGAGUAAACUUUGAUCUGUUUGAUAGACAUUGAAAGAAUUUCAUCUCUGUUCUCUGCCUGGUUGCCUUUGCACAGCUGCGCUGCUGGCUCUCUUCAGAUGUGUACUGACCUUGGCAUGACCUGUGGGGGUCACUGCCUCACAUUUUAUGCUUAGCCAACCAUCGCUGUCCUCAUUGCUGUUGUUGGAUUAGGUCCCUUGCAACUCAGUCAAGCUGAGUAAGCACACAUGUGUAAAAGAUGUUUGUAAGAGUGCUACUUGUUGGCUACUUUGAGAGAAAAACCAGAUUCCUGGGUCAGGUCUGGACUACUGAAUCUGAACUUCUGAGAUGAAGUCCUGAAUCUGCAUUUUAACUGCUGCACCCUCAGGUAAAUCAGAAUGUCUCAAGAGGAUCCUUGGGACACAGAAAACAUGUUGUGCCUGAUGAAUGCAACCUGUGUGUGAGCCUGCUUCAGAAACUGUCAUUGGACAACACCAUAGCUCUCUGCUUCCUGGAGAGGUUCCUGCAGGAGUUUUAAAGUUGUUACAUGAUGUGCAACUUUAUUAAUUUUAGUUGCAACUGUGAGCGCAUACACAAUGCGCUAUUUAAAACACUAUUUUAAACACUAUAGUGAGUGGGGUUGUAUUCAUUUGGGCCCU
This is a long non-coding RNA of Panthera uncia (snow leopard), 1087 nucleotides long. RefSeq lists it as uncharacterized. The transcript is spliced from 4 exons. The record is from RefSeq and is a predicted model, not a curated record. Lineage: Eukaryota; Metazoa; Chordata; Mammalia; Carnivora; Felidae.